AUGCGAGUCAUUGUAGCAAUACAAGGCAGACGGCUCAGUAACGCGUAGUCAACCUAACCUAUGGACGGGAAUAACCUCGGGAAACUGAGAAUAAUGCCCGAUAGAACACUAUACCUGGAAUGGUUUGUGUUCCAAAUGAUUUAUCGCCGUAGGAUGGGACUGCGGCCUAUCAGUUUGUUGGUGAGGUAAUGGCCCACCAAGACUAUUACAGGUACGGGCUCUGAGAGGAGUAGCCCGGAGAUGGGUACUGAGACACGGGCCCAGGCCCUAUGGGGCGCAGCAGGCGAGAAAACUUUGCAAUGUGCGAAAGCACGACAAGGUUAAUCCGAGUGAUUUGUGCUAAACGAAUCUUUUGUUAGUCCUAGAACCACUAACGAAUAAGGGGUGGGCAAGUUCUGGUGUCAGCCGCCGCGGUAAAACCAGCACCUCAAGUGGUCAGGAUGAUUAUUGGGCCUAAAGCAUCCGUAGCCGGCUCUGUAAGUUUUCGGUUAAAUCUGUACGCUUAACGUACAGGCUGCCGGGAAUACUGCAGAGCUAGGGAGUGGGAGAGGUAGACGGUACUCGGUAGGAAGGGGUAAAAUCCUUUGAUCUAUUGAUGACCACCUGUGGCGAAGGCGGUCUACCAGAACACGUCCGACGGUGAGGGAUGAAAGCUGGGGGAGCAAACCGGAUUAGAUACCCGGGUAGUCCCAGCUGUAAACUAUGCAAACUCAGUGAUGCAUUGACUUGUGGUCAAUGCAGUGCUGCAGGGAAGCCGUUAAGUUUGCCGCCUGGGAAGUACGUACGCAAGUAUGAAACUUAAAGGAAUUGGCGGGGGAGCACCACAAGGGGUGAAGCCUGCGGUUCAAUUGGAUUCAACGCCGGAA
RNAcentral lists this ribosomal RNA (866 nucleotides) under uncultured crenarchaeote. RNAcentral's name for it is "bacterial SSU rRNA". It matches the Rfam family "Archaeal small subunit ribosomal RNA", at positions 51 to 923 of the family's 1478-position model. The record is from RNAcentral. Lineage: Archaea; Thermoproteati; Thermoproteota.